This 16894-nucleotide long non-coding RNA is filed under the name Coffea arabica (coffee). RNAcentral describes it as "long non-coding RNA (CARA_LNC001553)". Lineage: Eukaryota; Viridiplantae; Streptophyta; Magnoliopsida; Gentianales; Rubiaceae. The record is from RNAcentral.
AUAUUUAACUCGCUGGAAAAAAUAGAAAAUUCUCAUUUUGGUUAGGUAAUAUUUAAAAUCACGAAAUGAACGCUAGUCCAUGUUUCUUGAUUCUAUAUAAUAUAUGUUCCAAAUCGCAUUCAAGAAAGAUUAAUAAGCUCAAGACUGAAUCAGAAUGUUGAAGGGACACCCGAUGAUAUGAAACUAAUGAAAAUGUUGGUGAGAUUGACGCUGCCAGAGAAUUGAAUACGAUACACUAACACAUGUAUACUUCCAUCAUCUUCUGUAUACUAUUAUCUGUAGAUACUAGUUCAUUGUAACAACAAAAAGAAAUGCCCAUUCAGGAAGGCUUUGAUUCACAGUAGAGUGGAGCACUGAAUUCUGGAUCAUGAACUUGUAAACAUGGGAAAGAGAGGGUGGGGAAGCCCACAAGGGUAGCUUACAUUGCAAUCCAUCGACAUGGAAGAAAUUUAAUGCGUGUUACAUAUUGGUAUAUAUUUCACAUAUUCUCAUGGUUUGUUCUUGCUUCCCUUUGUGGAACACAAACUUGAAUCGAGGGUUUGAUAGUUUGUGUAUCGGCUUGGAGCAGAAGUUCGUCGAAAUCCUUUAGGCAAGCAAGCCUCCACACCUUGACCUACUCGAGAGCCAUCUUCAUCUUCAUGAUUCUUCUUGGUUUCAAAUGCAAUAUAAUUUUCGGAUUUCGACCCCAUUGGCCUCAUGACUUCUUCAGCAAGUGCUCUGGACGCGGAUAGUCCCACAUAAUUUGGAGAAAAAAGUAGCAGGGCACAGAACAGAAGGAUGAAGGAUGAACAAGUGUUGCUAGGCAUUUUUUUAAUUACGACUGUUGUUUCCUUGGGUAAGGACUGUUUUCUUCUGGUGUAGUGUUGAAGGAGAAGGAACAAGGAGCCUUAAAUAUAUAGGCUUGUGAGGCACAGAUUAUGAUGAAAAGUUGGCAAAAUUAAUGAACAGCUCAUAGUUUAGGUCUAGCAAUCCAGUUGAUUGUAGUACCAGUGGUUGAAUGUUACAAGAUGAGAUCGCCUUUGCAAAAAUGCAGGUGGAGAAUCUCGUGCACUUCAUUACUCAUUCCUAAUUUGCUUUUUUACAAGUCAAAUUCCUUUAAAGUGUGAUACAAAGUCCAGAGGAAAAGCUCAUUAAAAUGAGGAAUGAAGUAUUUGUCCAAAAAAAUGAAAAAUCAAAAUAAAGAAAGAUAGAUUGGAGGUUAAGGGUAGUACUAAUAUUUUCUACAGCUGGUCAAUUUUUUUUUUUUUUUUUUUUGUAGUAGUAGUACAGUCAAGAGUAAUGCUUCAUACUGUAACAUAAUGUGCAAAAUGAGUUUUGACACAUAAAUUUUAAAAAUAAAAAAUGAUUGUCCCAUCUCAUUUCAUGAGAAAAAUAUAUAAGUUCAAUGGCAAAUUAAAUUUGGGGGGACCUCAAUCUUAUGAAAUGCAAUGAGGAGAGCUGCUAAUGAUCACUACUCAUGCAAUGGAUUAGAUGCACAACUAUAAAUUUAAGAAUUGAAAAAGAAAAAAAAAACAAAUUCUUAGGAAAGUUAAUCUAGAAAACACUUACAUAAAUUAUAUGGAAAACAACAAUUGAUCUAUAGCCAGGUAGAGCUCCUAAAACUUUCAUAAAUUAAUUUGCACGAGUUUUUAUUGUAUUCUUGUUAUUUUUAAGUGUAACUGAGCUGUUGCUAUUACAUUUAAUCACCAAAUUUUAUUUAAAAAAAAAAAGAAAUUGUUGAACCAAGGAGAUAUUUUGGAAGAUAAUUGAACACAUUAUAUACCGUAUAGACUUUUUCUUUUUCUUUUUUUUCAUGAGAAGCAAUAGAAAGUAUAAGUUAAAUCGAGUUAAUGGGCAACAAAUAUUACUGGUCUUAGAUGACAGACAGAGAGUUUUGAUUGGGCCACCUGGAAUUAGUAGCUUACCUGUUCACCUGUUUAGAUUUGCCACGCGUAAUUUGCUGGCAAAAAUUUUCAAUUUUUCACCUGCCUAUAUACGAAAUCUCAACAACCAAAGAGUUUUAUCCAGUAGUGAAGCUUGAUGAAACGACACGUGUCACAAAUUUCUAUUUCUAUUCCUAUUUCUUUUUUUUUAUAUAUAAAAAUUUUAAGUGAAUGGUUUUAAAUUCAGAACCUCUUUAUAUUUCUAUAUCUUUUUCUUUGUUUUCAUUGAAGUAAGUAAUUAAAUUGGCGAUUGUCUUUAAUAUGAUUAUACUUCUUCUUCUUGACCAUUGCAGUCGCUUUUCUCAUAAUUUCAAGUCCAUCAAAACAUUCUGAUAUGACUGAAAUAAAAAGAAAAAAAUGUUCAAGUUUAAAUAUCCGAUGUGAAAUUGGAGAUUUUUGGUUAGAUAUGACUUAAACAAAAAAAUAUAUAUAUAGAGAAAAUGUUCAAGUCUCUAUACACACUUAACUAUGCAUCCCCCAAUUAAAUUUUCCUUUCGUGCCAAUAAGAAUUCAACACUACGAAUAACUAAUUUCUUGCGCUAAAACCAUAAGCCUUUAUUGUACCUGAAAUCUAGGUGUUCUUUGGAUGGUAUCAUGUGAGCUUUUAAGGUAGAGAGGAGAUGGCACACAAAUAUGAGUCAAAGUCUAUCGGUGAACUCUGUUCACGUGAGACAUUUGGCAAGGGGUCAUUAGAUGAUAGGCAUGCCAAAAAGGGUUUCCUAUCCACGAGUUCUUUAUAAUUUUAUUAUUGUUUUACGAUUUGUCUAUGCCAAAAAGGGUUUCCUAUCCACGAGUUCUUUAUAAUUUUAUUAUUGUUUUACGAUUUGUCUAACGAGUAUUUUAUAUUCGCAAGAUAUAUUUCAAGUGUCAUACUUUUUAAAAAUUAAAAGGCCUUGUUUGACAGGCAAAUUUUUUGUCAAGUUUGUCUGCUACGAGUUUUUUAAAAACUUUAGUUACAGUAAUCUCAAAAAAAAUUUCAAAAUUUUAAAACUAUACACUUCAAAAUAUUUAAAAAUUUACACACUUCAAAAUUUUUUUUAAAAACUUCUACAAUAAGUUAGAGUAAAGUUUUAGAUAAAUACCUAAAAAACUCACUUGCCAAACGGGGCCUAAGAUUAAUUAGGAAACGUAAAUAAAUAUAAGAGAGAGUAGAUAAAAUUAAAUAGAAAAAGUAUAUAAAUGCAAUAGAAGAUAAUAAUUGUUAAUAUGGGUAUAUAUAUAUAUAUAUAGUAAGUUAGGUGAAUAUUAAGUGUGUUAACGAAAUGCUAUUAGAAAAUUUUUUUUUUAUAUGGCUUAAGAUGGUUUGGUACAUAUAUUUUUAUUGUUUUUAGAUGGUUUAAGGUGGUUUUUUGCUGAGCAAUUAGUGUCAAGUGAGUGGUGGAACUUCUCCCAAGAUUUUUUCAAUACGACUUGGAGUCUCCCUUACGUAGGAAAAAAGGAAAAGUCACCAAGCUAUAUUUUCUAAUGAGAUCGGGCAAGAGAUUGAAAGGUCAAAGGAGCGGAUGCCUUUCAUCCUAAAUCCUAAUGUCUCCAUGCCCACCUCUAUAUGACAAAGUGGUUGCAAAAAUGUAUUUGAUUUUGGUUGACAAAAAACUCGACUUAAAUCAAUUGCAUCUCGUCAAACUUAUUAUAAUUUUUGAAAGCUAGAAUUUAAUCUAUUAAAUAGGAUCUAGAAACAAAAUUAACCUAAAUGAGUUGUUGCUCGUUGUGAUUUGUUCCCAGAUAUUUGAAUUUUGCAUGCUUGAUGUUGCAAUUGGUGUCAUGGGGUAGGGUGAUACCGUUGUGAUAUUCAUAAACAAUCGUAUUCAUUUACUUUGGCUUGCCUUGUUGUGUAGUUAUGUAACUUGAUUUGCUGUAAUGUUUUUUUUACAGUUUCUCAAAAGAGUUUAUCUAUAAAAAGUUACUAAAAAUCACCCCGAUGUAUUAAAAUAAAAUAUAUAUAUGAAAAUUUCUAAAAUUGAGGAGGUGGACCAUUUUUUAUUUUAUUUCUAUCGUGUUCAGUAGCAUCUUCCUUCUCUUUUUUUUUUUUUUGUCGACACAGGGGUGUCUGGGUCAAUCCUUACGGGGCCCGACUAAUCCCCUGCGGCCUGAGAGAGGAGGCCCCACUCCACACCGAACAUGUUAACAGCGGGACUCGAACCCUGGACAAGUCAGGAAGGUCACCAUACCCCUAAGGAGGGGAAGCGGACCGCUCGAACUACCCCGCGGGGGCAAAGACCAGCCACGUAGAGUGGCAAGUUGUGGGAGGCAGGGGUUGAACCCCUGACCUCCAGCAUCCCAAAGAAGGGGAUGACCACUGGACCAAAUGGCCAGUGGCAUCUUUCUUCUCGAAAAUACAUUUCUCGAUACCCUAUCAAGGCCUUAGGCCUUCCCAUUUCUUUCUUCUUUUCUUUUUUUCUGGAUCAUCGGACGGCAAAGCCCAGUACAUUAGGCCAUCUUUGCUGGCAAGUAUUUCCAGACAACCCCGCGUUAAGUAAAAAUCUACGUCUCCUUGAUGCCUUGCAUAAAUAAGUUUCAAGAGCCAAUAGGCCUAAAUUUCUGGUCCAAGAUAGGCCCAACCAUGGACAAAGUCCAAUCAGUCACCACUAAGAUGAAUCAGUCUGCCCUGAACCAUGCCAUCUUUGGAUUCAAGGGACCAAAUUCUGGUCGAAUGUAUCUCCAAAAAAAUUCUGGUCGCAUGCUUAAUUCUAAUUUCUUUUUUUCCUUUAGGAAAAAAAAUCAGAUAUGAAAAAUAAAAACAUGGAGUUUUCAACCAUUACGCAUUUUUCCUUUUUUUUUUUUUUUUUUGCUUUGACCAAAUAGACAUGAAGAUUAUCACAAGCAUAAUUAAAGCCUUGCUCAGAUUGAGUUCCUCUCUUUCAUUGUAUGCUACUUUAAGAUUUCCUUAGUUUUUCGUUAAAUUCUGUGGCAGUUUUCGAGUAGCAAGAUUGGUCAAGGAAGGGUUUUUAGGAUCUUCUCCGUUGUCAGAUUCUGAGUGUUUGAAUCUCGUGUCUGACAGUUGGGAUGAAAAGGGUAUGAAAAGUCGAGUCAGAUUUUGGGUGUUUGAAUCUCGUGUCUGACAGUUGGGAUGAAAAGUUGCGAGAGAGUUUAAAAAAAAGGAUAACAAGAGUUGAAUUUACUAUAUAAAUGCUCAUUAUCAAUGACACGAGAGUUCAAAGCACAUGUAGAUACGUACGAGGUUGCUUUUUCUUGUAGGUGGCAGCUGCAGUUGUACUUAAAGAAAAUCAGUUUUUAGUUUUGUUUUAUUGGGGUUUAAUCUGUUUUAACUCGUAUCCAGCGGAAAAUAGAAUGGUACAUAUCGAGCAUAAGUAUACAUCCGAUGAACAGAAGUAAUUAAGUAGCUGUAAUUAAUUUGCAAUUUGCUUGUCAAGACUUAAGAUUUAGGAAUCGUACGUGGUUGUCAGUUGUCACGUCCAGAGCUAAGCCACAUAAAUUAAUCUGAACUCGAACGCAUCCCAACAAUGCAUCUAAAUGCACAGCUCGUGAAGAAUCUUUAGCAAAUUCUUUUUAAUUACUUUUUUUUUUCUGAUAUAUAUGGUCAUGGAUUAAAAAAAAGCAAUAACAACAUUAAUGAGUGGAAAUCCACUUGAACAAGAUUCGCGACUAGGAUUAAUUUUUUAGCUCUGAGUUCCGGAAAAAAAUUUAUCUAAUCAGGUUGGAAAUUAGGAGGAUAUUAGAUUAAUGAAGGGCAUCAGUAUUAGCAUUAAUUUAUGACUAAGAUGCUUAAUCAAUUUUGCCAAUACUGAGGGUGUUCACAUUGAUCCCCAAAUAAAUCUCCCCAUGACCGUGAAACCUAUCAUCAACAUCCAGUCAGAUCACCACCACCUUAUACCCGACAGAUUAAUGAUAAUCACGUGAAUUAAGCAUCAGUAUUUACAUGGGCCUUUGCUUUGAUGACUAAUUAAGCACAAAAGGUUAGGCUGGCUGUUGCUUUGAAAAUUAAUUAACCUCAUAUGGUAUUGUCAUUUGCUUGAACUAGUUGAUUAUGAUAAGGCUAUGAAAGGAAGAGUGGGGGAGGGUGAAGGAGGGCGGGGGAACAUUAGCCAAAACCGAUGCUAAUCUCAUGUGCAUUAGAUGGCUAGUGCUUAAUUAAUUAGCUCGAACUUAUUCAUUAGCAUUAGACAACAAUGGGCCAUUCAUCAUGGUCGUUUUUUUUUUUUUUGGGUAAUUCUAGCUUGCAAGAUCUAUGUAAAAUUUAUUAUGAUUUAGAGUUGCGACUAGUGUACUUGAUGAAUUAAUAUGUUAUACGUUCAAGCAUUUACGGCGUAUAAUAAGAAGUGUGUUAGAUAUGCUAUCGAAUAUACGAAUUUGAAUUUCAAAUAUGACUUGAUUUGAAUUUUAAAUGUGACUGCACAUUUAGCUAUUCACUUUUGCACAGUAUUUGUCAUUCAUUUGAUUGAGAAAAUUGAGGGCUAUGAUAUUCACGAGGUUCCAAAUCCUAGACAUAUCACAUAGAUCCACGAAUAGUUUAGUUUAGAGUCAAUAUAAGGUUGUUUAUAAAGCCUAAUUGUACAUCAUAAAAGUAGUAUAGUUAACAAAGGAGAAUCGAGUUGAUCAUUAAUCACUGUUAUUAUGACUAGAUUUCGAGACGAAUCAAAAGUUAGAUAUAGGGUUGUCUGCCAUAUUUAUCAUCAUUUCAAAGACGUUUAUGAUGCUAAAAAGAUUAUAGAGAAUCUUAAAGUUAGACGUAUCACAAGUUAGAUAUAAGGUUGUCUGCCAUAUUUAUCAGUAUUUCAAACAAUUUUUUAAUCCUAAAAAGAUAAGGGAGAAUCGUAAAAUCACACAUCCAAAUUGUAAAAUUAAAAUAUACUCGUUUACUAGCAUCUUAAACCUUAACUCGUUUAAAAAUUAGGAAUUUCAAAACUAAGAAACAAAAUUUCUACAUGUAUAUAGGCAAUUCCAUAAUCAGUAAAUAUCAAGGACCGAGUUUGUAACACGCUACUUUCAACCAUAGAAAAUGUAAUUCAUUAGUUUACUUGACUGAUCUAAGAUGUUGCAAGACAAUAAAUGAACAUUGAAAAAGGUCAAAGUAAGUUACACAAGAGGCGAGAGGGAGAGCAACAACAUCAGUUAAAUUUGGAGUGGAAAGUAGACAACGAAGAAUGAGUGAGCAUAGAUAGCAAGCAACAAGUAUAUAUGGAAUAUCUCGACGAGGCACAACUCACAAAGCUGUCAUAAAACAAGAGAGGAUGGAUUACCUCUUGACUCCCAAGCCCUAAGAGACAAAAGCACCUUCACAAUGGACGUAAAAUCAAAAGGAAGAUUGACUGUUACUGUUAAUGGCUUAGGCCAAUGUAAGAUUUAGAUUGAAGAUGGCGUACUAGGUUGUUGGCCAUGAGUACGGCAUGAAGCCCCACUUCUCCCUUUGUCAGAUCAUAAAAACAUAAACCCUUCCCAACUGUGUAUGGCACGAGUUUUCUAGCUGGAUCUUUUUCAAGCUGGUCAUCAAAACUUCAAUUUUCUUUUUUCCUUGAUUUUUAAAGAACUAAAGUAAUUUCAUAAAUAAACUUGAGACUCAUUUACUCGAAGCUUAAAAUUUUUAUUUUUUAUUUUUUUAUAAGUGAAAGAUUUUGAAUCAAAAAAUUUUUUAUUUACAACUUAUUUUAUCUUACCACACAACUCAAUUCUCCCGUUCACCCCCGAAACUUAAACUAAUCACUCAAACGUUGGAUAAUAUUCUCGAUACAAGACAAGACGCCGGCUCCAUCAUGAGAGUCCAGAGUAGGGUACCAAGGUGUCUUUCUAAAGCACACGCAAGAUGGAUAAAGAGAAUUAGCCAAUGUGAAUUAUUUUUUAGUCUUUUCUUAUAUAAUUCUUAUUGUUAUUACAGAAAAAUUAAACCAAUCUUUAGAGUAUUUGUCUGUUUUAUUUAGUUGAGGCCAUGUGUAAUCAGUUUAUUUAUUGGCUUACAAAGUCUGUUGAAUUUUUUAGAUGGUAGGGUGGUUACAACUUACAUAGGACCAUUCUAAUAAUUUAGCAGCAGUGGCAGUAGAAACCAGAAUACAGAGCCGCAUAGGGCUUUCAAUGUCAGAAGCCUCAGUUUCGUUUAUAUGGUAGUACUCUUUUUUUUUUUUUUAUAAUUCAUAUACUACGGGGAGAGGAGGACCUGAAGAGAUCUUGGAAUAACUCGGAAGAGACUGAAUCAUCACCGGACCAGACGGAUGCACUACGCACCCGCUUGAAUUUUUUAAACAGGACCAUAUUUAAUUGUGGCAAAUUGAAACCUUGCCUCCCACCCCACCAAGCUAUAAUGCAUUGGUGGUGUCCGCUAUGGUAGUACUUGGUAGCCUCAACUUCAUAGAUCAUUAGAGCCGCAGCCUAUCGUUUUUGAGUAAUUGGAAAAUUUUCCUGUUCUUCUUAUAUCAAUUUUCGUGUGAAUUAUCUAUAGGUUUAUGUUAUUGAUUGAUUUGGAUCCAUCAGUUAUAUAUUAGUACUGAUUGGUGUAGAUUGAUUAGUGACUUUAACGUCGCAGGAUUCUCCUCCCUUCUCUAUCAUCGGCCAUCCUGCGAAGUUGUGGCCACAAGAAGUUCAUAUAGUUAUAAUAUCAAGUUGAGGCUUUCAUCCCUUGAUAAAUAAAAAGGUCUUGGGUCCAUCGGUAGAUUUUUCUUCUUCUGCUACUUUAGCUAUUAAUGCAUCAUACCCAUAUACAGGAAUCGAUUGAAAAGAAGAAAAUGGGAAAAGAAAAUGAAAUCUGAAUUAAUCUUUAAUUUCUUUAAUUUUUAGCUUAGUGCAUGGUAGGUCCAACUAAACCGAGUCUUGUCUCUUGCCAAUGCCAACAAACAAGGAUUUCUUUACAUCCUUAAUUCUCGUCGGCGCUGCUAUUUUUGUGGGAUCACCUUGGCAUUGAUAAAGAACACCCAUGUGUGCCUUAUUGUGUUUUUCAAAACUUGGAAAUUACCCAUUAUUUUGUGUCAAUACACAAACCAUAUUCACAUAUAUAUACGCAUAUUUAAAUACAUUUUCUCAAAGAAUAAUUAUCAAUUAACAAGAAACUAAAAAAAUGCAACAUGGGAAGUUGCAAACAAUGGCAGAGGCACACGUAGCUGAGGGGGUUCAAUUGUCUCUCCCCCCCCCCCCCCCCACCACCAAAGAAAAGAAACUUUAUAUAUAAUUGCUACGUACCUUUUACAAGAGUGUUAGAACUAUAAAAAAAAAAUUUAUGUUAAUCUAAAGCAAUUAAAUUUGAAAGCAUAUUUAAGAUAGGGAAAAAAAAUAAAUGUCUAAGAUAUUUAUUGGUUUUAAACUCUACCAACUCUUGGGUUGACGGUUGUAUUUGACCAAUUGAUUGGUCUAUCAUAACAACUCUUGCUGCUUAGUUGUGCAAGGGAUUGACCAGAACUGAUUGGAAGUUUAUGCUGGAAUUGGGUAUUAAUCCUCGAUCAGAGUCUUUUGUGAUGGAAUAGUGAUGCCUUUUGAUGAUUAUAUAGGACGCUAUUUUCGCCUCUGCGUAAGCUAUGAUUCUGCAGUUCCUCAUGGCUUGACCAAAAAAUAAAUAAUAAAAAAAAAGGUUCCCGCGAGGGAUAGGGUUUGAACAUCGAACCCUCCUGCGUAUUUAGUCAUCAAAAGCGAUGGAAAGUAGGACAGGAAGCAAGGGUCAGUUGGAGGGGACCAUAUUUAAGCUCUGAUCACUUAAGCCCAAGAAAAGGCUGUAGUUUAGGUCUUCUUGCUUUCAGCUGGCGUCAUUCCAAUUAGUUCGUCUAGUAUUUGAUAGUUUAACAAUUUUGAUAAACAUUUCUCGGUCCGAACUUUAUAAUAUUAUACAUUUUACACGUUUAAAAUACAAAUGGCCAAUGAAGCCUGCCAAUUUCUUUCAAUUACUGCAGACUUAGCUGGCAUGCUUGCUUGCGGCCGAAUGCAUAAAAUCGUAUAUUCCAUCAACUUGUUCAAGAAACUAGCUAGGGGAGGCUCAUCAUAUGGUAGUGGUUGAAUCUUGAAAUGUUUGUUUCGGUGCUGAUCCAAUCGAAGGACGUCCAAAGGGAGGCUUCAUCCCCUGCCUGGCCUGGCCUUUGGUACGACUCAUUAAUUUCUGAGCGUAUUUUAUCCCAAAGCAAAGUAUGCACUCACUGCAUCAAACCUUAAACGUAGAAAAAAAGAAUCAUUAAUUAUCGCCUAUAUGUUAUAUUGACCUUAAAUCCUGAAUAUAUAUAGCACGUCAUUUUUUACAUAGUAGGAUGCUCAGGAAGUGCAAUCUGCUGUAUUUUUCCAUGGCAGGAUGCAUGCUCAGGAAGUAUACUGUCUGUACAAUCUCACUAAUUGGUAUCGUUUAAUCAACUUUCUUGGCUUAUCGAGGCAAGCCCACAAACUCUUCCCCGGGCUCUGGUAAAAGAGGAAAAAAAAAAUUGCAUCAAGAUUCCAAAGGCUAAACCAGCUGGUGAUCAAAACCUUCUAUAUAAGCUUCUACAGUUGUCAGUUUCAAUUACAUGGUGCAAGGUCUGCACUAAGCCACAUCAAUGAAACUAGUGCUUAAGAUGCACCUUAAUGUGUGUGCAAUUAACUAAAACCAUAUAGUACUAUAUAUAAAUUACUAUCUCUUUAUAAAGUUUCGUUAGUUAGAUUUCUUUAUAAUUUAGAUAAGCCUAGCUAUGGAAAGUAAUACUAUUAUAGAAACAAGUUGAGAGCAAUACGUGAGAGUUAGUUAGAAGAUUUCAAUGGAUAACUAUGUGCUAAUUGUGGGAAGCUUUUGGAUAGCAAAUUUAUCCAAAAAAAAUUUUCAUUUGUAUCAUAAACACAUUUUUCAAUCUACUUUUUUACGUUCCCAACCACAUUUUUAUUUCACAUACAUCACAUCACAAAAAGUGCUACAGUAAUUAAUUCAAAUAAUUAUUUGAAAUAAUACUCUAUCCAAACAAAGCUAUGUUUUCUUUUUUGGGAACAAUAUUGAACAAAUUUAUUCGUAUAAUUAUGGAUAGAUUAGAAACAUUAAAAAGUGACGUUGUAUGCUUACAUUUGAUAGCAACACUCUCCUAUUAUAUAUUAUAUAGAUAUAUUGUACACAUGUCAAGGAUUAACUGCCAUUAGUAGUAGUAGAUAAGCAUUUGGCCAAAAUAACUGCCAAAACCAUUAUGGAGAAAAAAACUGGACGGAUACUUAGGUAAAGAUCAUCAUAACUUUGAAAUGGACUCAUAAUUACUUUUAGUCAAGAGAAACCUUUUUCAUAAUUUUAUUACGGGACCUUUUUGCACGGCCGCACCAGGAGUGUUUGGCAUCUUUUCGAUGUAAUGGGAUAAAAAAAAAAAAAAAAAAGGAAAAAAUGGCGCAGAUCAAUAAGUCCAUUUAAGCGUCCACAUCAGAACGUACGGGUUUCAUGCCCCAGUCUAGAUGGUGGUUGUUGACGUGAGGAAUCUCGAUCCUACUUUCCGAGCUCCCUUUUUUCCUUUCCUUUUCUUUUCUCUGCUUCUCUGGACGCUGUGAGUCCACAUCUUCUCUCCUGAGAUUAAUAAUGGUAGUUGCUUAGUUUUGCCUAGUUUUUCAUGGGCCAGUGCGCAGCUGAAGUCGAUCCAUCAAUGGGAAGGAAGGCGAAAAUCAAAAGGAGGAUGGUGUAAGCAUGAAUAAGAUUUUUUUUUUUUACUAAUGUUUAUCAUGGUAGAUAGUACACUUUUCAUCUGCUCAUCAACAUGUUCAUUAUCCGGGAUGGAUGAUUAGAUUUUUGCUGCUUUUGUCUUGGAUGUAUGCACGUCACUGCAACCUUUAUACUGCUUUUAACUUUUAUUAUUAUGUACCAUAUUAUAAGAGGACAGAUUCAAGGUCUACAAUAUAUAUAUAUAUAUUUUUUCUCCUCGAUAAACUUUAGGGGUUAUUCACCUAAAUUUGGAACCAAUUUAAAAUGUUAGAGGGGGAAUAUGCAAGUUUCAAUUCAAUGUGUCAUUUUUUUUUUUUGUCGACAUAGGAUAUCCUAGAAUCACCCAAACUAAUCCCUGCGACAGAGCAGAGUCCGCCCCUAAGGAUGCUUAACACGGUAAUUCGGGAAGAAUCGAACCGUGGUCGAUGUUGUAAAGACAGACGGUAAUUCAAUGAGUCAUGUUGCUUGAAUCUUUUUUAACGUUAACCUAGUACUUUGUGCCCUUGAACCUUAAACGGAUACUCAUAUAGCACUUCAAACAUUUAUAUUGAGACAUUUUGUACCCUGAAGUGCUCAAAAUUGAUACUGGGAGUGUUCAAGAUAAGUAUAAUAUAUUUCACUUUGGUCGAAAAUCAUUUAUGAUAAAAACAUAGCUGAGUCGAGAUAUAUGUGUAUGGUCCCUUCAGGGACAUCCGAUAAAAUUGGAAUGAUACAGAGAUACAUGUGUAUGCAAACACACACGUGUUGACGUAUGAUGUCUAUAUAUAUAUAUGUAUAUAUAUAGACAUAUAUGGUGUAUAGAAAAUAUAGAAAACAUUUCCUAGUACUUGUUUCAGCAAAUUAAACAAAAUCGCUUUCUAAUGUUUGAAACUUCUUCAUUAAUUAAUAGUUCGAUUUCAGCAGAUUAUCUAUCUAUUCAAGAAACAGCAAAUGUUAAAUUUCAUCGCCAAAAGAAGAAAUCUAUUUUGUUGUUACAUUACAUAUAAAUGAAAAAAAAAUGAAUUGGAUGACGACAAUAAUGGUAAUGAUGACUCUGCCAGCAUCACGAUGAUGUGAUCAUAAUGAAGCCGUUGAUGCUAAUCAAAAUGAUUUUAAUGAUGAUUUUAAGUCAUUUGUCCUUUGCUAUAAUGACAUCAAAUCAAGAUUUGUAACGUUGUGGGUUUUUUGUUGCUUUACGUGUUCAUAGUCUAAUCAUGAUCAUAACUGGAUUGAACCAAAAGUCUGCUGUAAUCUUGCGCUAGAUCCUACUCGUGCUCUUGUACUACCAGCACACAUAGUUGCAGCAGCACAAUCUGAUCAUCUGUAUAGCAUAUAUGCAGAAAAUCCAGAAUAAAGUAAUGCCACUAGGAGAGAGUGAUGAACUGGCUCUUUCCUUCUUUUUUUUUUCAAAAAAAGUGUACACAAUUCUGUAUUGUAAGUGUUGUUUCUCUUUUUCUUUUUUUUUUUCUAAUUAUUACUUCUCUCUUAAUUGCAUCCAAAUUUAACAAUUAGAUAAAAUCCAAAAGGAUCUUGCAACAAUAUGUAGAUUCCUUCGUAAAUUACUAAGGGUAGGUUUGAUAAAACUGAAACCUGAAAACUAAAGUAUGAAAUCUGAAUCCAUUAACUUAUUAAAUUGUUAAAUAUAAAAUCUAAUACAUUUGAGUGCAUAUAUUACAUUCAGUGAUAAGUGAAUAGUUUAUCACUUAAUUUUGGAAACAAGUUUUAUCUAAAAAAUUCAAUGCCACUUAACUAAUUUAAAUGUUCAAUUUUUAGUUAUCAAAUAGUUUAAAUAAGUUAAGAUUUGAAUCCAUUAACUUUAAGUGUUGAACUGGAUUAUCAAACAGGAGCAAAGUCAAAUUUUAUCUUAUUUGUGACAAUUGUUAAUUGACAAAGCCCCUUCUUGUGCGUAGGUUGACAAGUUAAUAAAGUAUAUGGAGCUGGUUGCCUUAAAAAUUCAGUGGAAACCAGUUGAUAAAUAAAUCAUUUUGAUCUUGAUCAAAGUUUGAACAGUCACUAAUUAGGAAUCAAGCGCUCAAUUUCAACUUGCAGCUUAAUUAGUUGUUUUUUCACUCCUACGUAUAUUCCUUAUUUUCUAUUCUUUACCUAUCAUGCAGAUCUAGAUUAUGAUUUGUGACUUUGAGUUAAUUAAUUCCAAAUUUUGAUUUAAAACUAGUUGGAGAUAAAGUUUGAAACACAAGAAGUACCAUUUCGGUAUUGAGAAAACUUGUGAAGCCAGCUGCUUAGUGACCUUUGCCACUAAUCUUUUGACAUUAACUUAAUUUUUCUUUAUCUUUUAUUUUCUUUCUUUUUUCUUUUCUUUAAAGUGAAAGUGCAAGUUCGCCAUAUUCCAACAUGUUUUCCAUUGCUUUAAAGAAACAAUAUGUAAUGGCUGAAGCUGAAGCCAAGUUAGCUGACGUCAGAAAGUUAGUUAGGAAGAAAUAUUCCAAAUAACAGAUUGCAUGUGCUGGUUAUUUGAUCUUGCAUGUGAGUCAUUUUGUAUUGCAUGCGUUGGUUAUAUUGUUAAAAUACCAGAAACUAGUACAAAGCAGGGGAGGAAGAGAAGAGAUGUAGAUUUUGAAUGUAAACAAUUCUCAUUUCAUCUAUAAUAUCUCAGUUUUCUUUCCGCUCAUACCCCUCUAUUUCUUCUAUACCUUUAUUUCUAUCUUUCUCUCUUUGAAUUCAUUCCUUCUUGUACAAGACCAGUACAAUUGGUAUCAGAGCUUGCAGUCCUUGGAUCUGCAAGCUCAGCUACUGAAUCUGUAGCUGACCAUGACGGAGGGCACCAGAAUGAAAGGCUUUGAAGAACAACUGAAGAAGCAGGAUUCACGAAUUCAGAGUAUCUUUGAAGCCAAUGCAGCUGCCAGAUUAGCAUUGGAGGAGAAGUUGGCGACAAAUUACUCUGAUAUGAAGGCGCUGUUAGAAGCAAACUCAGCUGAGAUGAAAAAUUUCAAGGUUUCCAUGAAUACUCAAUACACUGCUUUUGUGAGGAGCUUACAAGGCGACAGAGGGAUCUUAGGAACUUCACCAGACACCACGGAGAGACAAACUGUCCAAAGGUCACAGAAAAACUUGGAGUUGCGGCUGUCCAGUCAGGGAGAAAGGAAUUAUCUACCUAUAGGGACUCCUAAGGUGGAAUUUCCCAAAUUUGAUGGUAAUAACCCCAGGGAGUGGGUUAGGAAGUGUGAGAAGUUUUUCCGUUUAUGUCGCAUUCCGGACUCUCAGCAGAUGGAUCUAGUGGAAUUGCAUUUGGAUGGAAAAGCUAGUAUCUGGUAUCAAGGCUUCAAGGUGGAUAAGGGCGAGUUACGAUGGGACAGAUUCAGCCAGGAGCUUUGCAUUAGAUUUGGAAAUUUGGGGAAGGACGAUGUCAUAGAGGAGUUUAACAAGCUUCAUUAAACUUCCACAGUAAUGGCCUACCAAGAAAAAUUUGAUGAGCUGCGAGCUAUUGUAAUGCUCAAGGUUCCUGGUCUCACUGAAUCUUAUCACGUUUCCAGCUUCCUAAGUGGAUUAAAGGAGGAAAUUAAGUCUGUGGUCAAGAUCCACAAGCCUACCACCCUACAAUUAGCAUUUGAGAAGGCGAGAUGGCAGGAACACUAUUUGCAGGUUAUGUCUAAGCAACACAAGAUGGCCACAAAACCAACUCCAGUUGCAGAUGCAAUGCCGAAGAAGCCUACACACCAGGCGUUUGACAGUAGUACCAGUAAAACUAUUCCCCAAGGCCCCAGGAGGAUUACGCCCACUGAGUUCCAGUAUAGGAAGGAUCACAACUUAUGUUACAAAUGUGGAGAGAGGUUUUCUCCUGGGCACUUUUGCAGGAAUAAGGGAAUUCAUUUGCUGCUAGCAGAUGAAGGCGAGGCACAAGUAGAUGAAGUAGUAGAUGAAGAGGAUAAGGUCAUUGAGUAUCAAGGCAACAAGUAUGGCAGAGAUGUUGCACUAUCUCUCCACUCAGUUUCAGGCCAAUUGUCUUUCAGUACCAUUAAAAUGCUGGGGUAUUAUGGUGAUCAAGAGGUGUCAAUCCUGUUGGAUGGAGGCAGCACCAACUGUUUCAUAAAGCCAAUUAUUGCUCAACUCUACCCUGGAGCUGUUAAGAGUCAUAAACCUUUUAAAGUCAAGAUUGCAGAUGGGAAAGAAUUAGUUUGUAAGCAAUGGAUUCCUAAUAUGAAGUGGCUGAUGCGAGGCCAUUGUUUCACUCACAAUGUGUAUGUGUUAGACUUGGAACCUUACGAUCUGAUUUUGGGGGUUGACUGGAUGAAGUGUUAUAGCCCCAUGACUUUUGACUUUCAAAAGCUGUCAUUAUCAUUUGAGAAGGAGGGUGAAAUGGUGCUACUGCAAAGGGAUUCCCACUCUGCUAAGGUGUUGAUGAAGCAAGGAGUAUCUGCCCAGAGAUAUUGCAGAAACAAAAUCAGAACAGCUUUGCAACACUCUUGCAUGAUUCGAGUACAAAACUCACAGGUAACUACUGUGCCCAAAACACUCACUCAAUUACUUGCUCAAUAUGAUGACAUAUUUGUUGUACCUACAACUCUACCCCCCAACCGGUAGCCUCAAUCAUCAAAUACCCUUGAAACCUGAUACUAAACCUUUCAAGAUUAGCCCAUAUAGGUAUCCCCACAGACAAAAAACAGAAAUAGAAAGGCAAGUCAAAGAAAUGUUGGCCACUGGCAUCAUCCAAACCAGCCAUAGUCCAUUUGCAUCCCCAGCCUUACUGGUUAAAAAGAAAGAUGGCAGUUGGAGGUUAUGUAUUGACUAUAGACAACUUAACAACCUCACCAUCAAAGAUAAGUUUCCCAUUCCAAUCAUUGAUGACCUCCUUGAUGAAUUGCAUGGUGCCAAAGUUUUUUCAAAGAUUGAUUUGAAGUCAGGGUACCAUCAAAUAAGAAUGAACUCAUCUGAUAUCCAAAAAACAGCUUUUAGGACCCACUCUGGCCUUUAUGAAUACUUAGUGAUGCCAUUUGGCCUCACUAAUGCUCCAGCAACCUUUCAGGCUUUAAUGAACUCCGUAUUUGAACCUUUCAUUCGAAAAUUUGUGCUAGUAUUUUUUGAUGACAUUCUAGUUUACAGUCCAGAUCUUGACUCCCAUCUCAAACAUCUCUUCCUUGUUCUUGACAUCCUCAGAAAUCACUCCUUAUAUGCAAAAAUGUCUAAGUGUUCAUUUGGGCAAGAUAGAGUAGAGUAUUUGGGGCAUAUAGUUACUGGUGAAGGAGUCUCUGCUGAUCCUGGAAAAGUGAGCCAUGUUGUCCUGGCCAUCCCCUACCAUUGUUAAAGGUUUAAGAGGCUUUUUGGGACUGACAGGUUACUACCGGAGAUUUGUGCAAGGAUAUGGGAAGAUAGCUAAACCUUUAACUAACCUGCUCAAAAAGGAAGAUUUUGAGUGGGAUGAACAAGCUGAGCAUGCUUUCCAGGAACUCAAACAGGCUAUGACUCAAGCUCCUGUACU